CACAGCAGGAGGACUCGGCUCUCUUUGUACGGGACUGCCAGGGCUGCAAAGGUAUGGGACGGGUGUGACCGUAGGGAGAGGGUACUCGCUGAGCAAUCUCUCCUCAUCGAGGAACUUUCCGGCGCGCCCGUUAAAGGCUGGGAGAUUGACAGGACAUCAUAGAGUGAAAAAUGGGGAAAGGGAUCAGACAUGGAUCUGAUUGGGCAAGGUUGGUAAAGUGUCGAACGUCGCAGCACUCGCUCUGAGAUUUCAGGACACUUGAAGCCCAACCCUGAUGCUGAAUAUUCCCCAGCAGGAAAACCAGCAGGAAAGAGGAAAUUACAGCAGGAAGGUUUCCAGACCAUCUCGACCCAUCUCAACCAACCGAAAAAAUCCCUCGCCGAUCUCCACCAAUAAGCAAAGGGGUUCAAUCAUCUCAGCCAAUCGCCAACGUUUCUCGAAACACCUCAGCUCACAGAUCUGGCCAUCUCUGCGUUGAAGUCUCUGGCAGAUUUUGUGGACAGGAACGUGAGCACUGAGGGGGCGGCUCACCUCACCGGUCACUUUGGCCGCCGCAUCACUCGAGGCGCCGAGCACACGUUCUGAUGAGACCCUCCUCCACCAGCUCUGGGGAGAGCUCUGUGUGCCGCACAACUAGUGAGGUGUAAAGGCGCUCCAGGAAAUGUACACACACUGAGAACACAUGUACACAUUUGCACUUGCACACUGAAAGACUCAUGACGAUCAUGUGACGAGGUUUAACAAGGUUUCAUACAUGAAUUCAACAUGAACUGACAAUAGACAAUUUACAUUUGACAACAUUUUUACUUCAUACGAACACAAUGUGUUUUUUUAUUCAUUCAUUUUACUAACUAUCAUAGCCAUACAGAAUGUUUAAAAAAAAACUAUUAGUAAAUAUUUAAUGAG
Long non-coding RNA from Triplophysa dalaica, 906 nucleotides. RefSeq lists it as uncharacterized. The transcript is spliced from 6 exons. NCBI's taxonomy places the organism in Eukaryota, Metazoa, Chordata, Actinopteri, Cypriniformes, Nemacheilidae. The record is from RefSeq and is a predicted model, not a curated record.